Molecule: ribosomal RNA, 492 nt
Filed under: uncultured bacterium
Lineage: Bacteria
Description: partial 16S ribosomal RNA
Rfam family: Bacterial small subunit ribosomal RNA
Source: RNAcentral
AGUGAACGCUUGCGGUAUGCCUAACACAUGCAAUUCGAACGGCAGCACAGUAAGAGCUUGCUCUUACGGGUGGCGAGUGGCGAACGUGUGAAGAAUACAUCGUAAUCUACUUUUUCUUGGGGGAUAACGUAGAGAAACUUACGCUAAUACCUCAUACGACCUACGGUUUAAAGCAAUGGCUCUUCGGACCUUGCUCGAUUUAGUGAGCCGAUGUCGGAUUAGCUAGUUGGCGGGGUAAAGGCCCACCAAGGCGACGAGCCGUAGCUGAUCUGAGAGGAUGAUCAGUCACACUGGAACUGAGACACGGUCCAGACUCCUACGGGAGGCAGGAGUGGGGAAUAUGGGACAAUGGGCGCAAGCCUGAUCCAGCCAGACCGCGUGGGUGAAGAAGGCCUUCGGGUUGUAAAGCUCUUUUGUUGGGAAAGAAAAGCAGUAGGUUAAUACGCCGCUGUUCUGACGGGACCCAAAGAAUAAGCACCGGCUAACUUCGUG